This 280-nucleotide ribosomal RNA is filed under the name uncultured Lachnospiraceae bacterium. Its description in RNAcentral is "partial 16S ribosomal RNA". It matches the Rfam family "Bacterial small subunit ribosomal RNA", at positions 64 to 339 of the family's 1533-position model. The record is from RNAcentral. Lineage: Bacteria; Bacillati; Bacillota; Clostridia; Lachnospirales; Lachnospiraceae.
AAGCACUUCAUAAAGUUUACUUUAAGAAGUGACUUAGUGGCGGACGGGUGAGUAACGCGUGGGUAACCUGCCUUACACAGGGGGAUAACAGUUAGAAAUGACUGCUAAUACCGCAUAAAACAGCAGAGUCGCAUGACUCAACUGUCAAAGAUUUAUCGGUGUAAGAUGGACCCGCGUCUGAUUAGCUGGUUGGCGGGGUAACGGCCCACCAAAGCGACGAUCGGUAGCCGACCUGAGAGGGUGAUCGGCCACAUUGGGACUGAGACACGGCCCAAACUCC